CCUACGGGAGGCAGCAGUGGGGAAUUUUGGACAAUGGGCGCAAGCCUGAUCCAGCCAUGCCGCGUGCAGGAUGAAGGCCUUCGGGUUGUAAACUGCUUUUGUACGGAACGAAAAGACUCUGGUUAAUACCUGGGGUUCAUGACGGUACCGUAAGAAUAAGCACCGGCUAACUACGUGCCAGCAGCCGCGGUAAUACGUAGGGUGCGAGCGUUAAUCGGAAUUACUGGGCGUAAAGCGUGCGCAGGCGGUUAUAUAAGACAGAUGUGAAAUCCCCGGGCUCAACCUGGGAACUGCAUUUGUGACUGUAUAGCUAGAGUACGGUAGAGGGGGAUGGAAUUCCGCGUGUAGCAGUGAAAUGCGUAGAUAUGCGGAGGAACACCGAUGGCGAAGGCAAUCCCCUGGACCUGUACUGACGCUCAUGCACGAAAGCGUGGGGAGCAAACAGGAUUAGAUACCCUGGUAGUCCACGCCCUAAACGAUGUCAACUGGUUGUUGGGUCUUCACUGACUCAGUAACGAAGCUAACGCGUGAAGUUGACCGCCUGGGGAGUCGGCCGCAAGGUUGAACUUAAAUGAAUUGACGG
RNAcentral lists this ribosomal RNA (583 nucleotides) under uncultured bacterium. RNAcentral's name for it is "bacterial SSU rRNA". It matches the Rfam family "Bacterial small subunit ribosomal RNA", at positions 338 to 916 of the family's 1533-position model. The record is from RNAcentral.